CCCUUAGAUGUCCUGGGCCGCACGCGUGCUACACUGACACUUACACCGAGUUUUUCCGGCCCCGAGAGGUGGCUGGUAAUCAGUAAUAGGUGUCGUGAUGGGGAUAGAUCUUUGGAAUUAUUGAUCUUGAACGAGGAAUGCCCAGUGAUCGUAGGUCAUCAGCCUGCGAUGAUUACGUCCCUGCCCUUUGUACACACCGCCCGUCGCACCUACCGAUUGAAUGGUCCGGUGAAGCCUCCGGAUUGGCGCGCACCUCGGUGCCGCCGAGAAGUUGGCUAAACCUUACCAUUUAGAGGAAGGUGAAGUCGUAACA
RNAcentral lists this ribosomal RNA (313 nucleotides) under uncultured eukaryote. RNAcentral's name for it is "partial 18S ribosomal RNA". It matches the Rfam family "Eukaryotic small subunit ribosomal RNA", at positions 1470 to 1796 of the family's 1831-position model. The record is from RNAcentral.